CUUUUUAAAGGCAGUAAUCGUUCUGGUCACUGCGACACAGCUGCCCUCGCCCAUUCUAAAAAGUCAGCGCCCUCAGGACCGCAGAGCUUAGAAGCAAAGUUAAGAGACUCAUCAGAUUCUGAGCUGCGGCGGGAUAUUUUGCAGAAGACUGUGAAGCAUCCUGUGUGUGUGAAGCACCCGCCGUCAGUCAAGUAUGCCCGGUGCUUUCUCUCAGAACUCAUGAAAAAGCCCUCGGGAGGCUCGGUCACACUCUCCAAGAGCACAGCCAUCAUCUCCCACGGCACCACAGGCCUGGUCACAUGGGACGCUGCCCUCUACCUUGCAGAAUGGGCCGAGAACCCAGCAGCCUUCACUCACAGGACUGUCCUAAAGCUUGGCAGUGGCGCCGGCCUCACAGGCCUGGCCAUCUGCAAGAUGUGCCGCCCCCGGGCGUACAUCUUCAGCGACUGUCACAGCCGGGUC
Molecule: long non-coding RNA, 462 nt
Filed under: Homo sapiens (human)
Lineage: Eukaryota; Metazoa; Chordata; Mammalia; Primates; Hominidae
Description: non-protein coding lnc-OTOP1-6:8
Source: RNAcentral